ACACCUACAAUUCACACCAGUAAGCCUCCUUCUAUCCAACAAUUUAAAGGACAUUCCUGGGGCUCAUGCCUGCUUUGGUCAGUAGAAUACAGCUGAAGUGAUGUUGUACCAGUUUUGCGUCUGGUCUUUACAAGCACUGGUAGCUUCAACUUUCUCCUUCUUGGUACUCACCCACCAUGUUGUAAGGAAACCCAAACAGCCACGUGGAAGACAGUUCUAGUUGAGCUCCCAGCCCAGAGCCUAUCCCAACUCUCCAGCCAUACCCUGACUUCCUUCAGCAAAGAGACAGCUUCUGAUUCAUGUUCGUCUCACCAUAAUCAGUCCUUGAAGGCUCACCUAUCCUCGUGGCUGCAGCCAUUUCCCUCUCUGCAGAUACUUCCAAAAGUUACACUAGAUGUUAACUGAGCACUAAGGACACUACGUGAAAGACUGGAGUACAAACAUCCAAAGGACUGAAGAAUUUGAAGAGCACUGAAUGUGGGAGAUAGGACAGAGGAAAGGAGUCAAAUGUCUCCAAGAAACGAAGCCUGUGUGCCCUGGAGAAUGAAGAAGCAUCAUCAAAUCGGGGAGACUGAAGGAGGAAUCGGUUUUCAGAGAAAAACAAUUUAUAUUGUCUUAGCUGUGUUAGGUGGCAUACUAUUACAUUCAAGUGAAGCUGUGUAAUAGACAGAGAUGACAAAUUUUAUUCAUUUAUGAAUGCCCCCCAAAAUAUAUAUAUAGUUUUUGCCCUCAUGUCUCUUAUUGGGAUGACAGACAUAAAUCAAAGAAUUCCAUAAAUAAAUAUUAAAAUACAAUUUGUGAUAAA
Homo sapiens (human) is the source of this 805-nucleotide long non-coding RNA. Lineage: Eukaryota; Metazoa; Chordata; Mammalia; Primates; Hominidae. The record is from Ensembl.